UACGUAGGGGGCGAGCGUUGUCCGGAGUUACUGGGCGUAAAGCGUGCGCAGGCGGUUCGCUAAGACCGAUGUGAAAUCCCCGGGCUUAACCUGGGAACUGCAUUGGUGACUGGCGGGCUAGAGUAUGGCAGAGGGGGGUAGAAUUCCACGUGUAGCAGUGAAAUGCGUAGAGAUGUGGAGGAAUACCGAUGGCGAAGGCAGCCCCCUGGGCCAAUACUGACGCUCAUGCACGAAAGCGUGGGGAGCAAACAGG
RNAcentral lists this ribosomal RNA (253 nucleotides) under uncultured bacterium. RNAcentral describes it as "partial 16S ribosomal RNA". It matches the Rfam family "Bacterial small subunit ribosomal RNA", at positions 524 to 776 of the family's 1533-position model. The record is from RNAcentral.